UUUCGGGGUCUUUGAUCGGACCGAGACGAAAAGUGGCCGAAUUUGGGUGUACUAAUUGCUGGGGCGUGGUUUCGUUAGUUAGAGCAGAGGCCGUCGAUUCGAAAUAAAAUCUGUGGGCAAUGGGACCAAUGGGCUCAUCAUUUCCUUCCUUAUGGGCGUCCAGGUGCUCUGAUCCAUCUUCAUUUACUCACUCCUAGUAAAUAAUUAAAUAAAUCAACAAAAUUAUUUUUUUCCCCAACUUUUUCAUUCAGUUUGGUUAUCAAGAGUCUUCGAAUUAAGCUCGAUUCGAGUUAAAAAAUUUGAACUUGAGUUCAAGCUCAUCAAAUUCGAGGUUAAGUUCGAUUUUGUUUUGCAUUAUUUGAGCUCGUGCUCAUCAACCCCAAAUCAAACUUAAAUUGAAUUCAAUCGAGUUUAAUCGAAUUUAAGAAGUAUAAAUUUAUAUAAUUUUAAACAAUGGACAAAAUAGACAUUUCAUUCUAAUAAAAAAAAUUAAAAUAUAUAUAUGUGAAACUCAAUUAAAACUCAAUUAAGCUCGACAAACUUUUGAGUUUUAUAUAUUUAACUCAAACUCGACUCAUUAAGUAGGUCGAAUUUAGUUAACACAAGUUCAAGUUCGAGCUUUAACCGAGCAACCUUGCAAGUUACUUGAUUAAAUUUGACUCAUUUGCACCCCUAAAUAGGACACUCGUUAAAAGGGAUCCGGAUUUAUUAGUUUUUUUUUUCUAAAUGUAUAGCUAAUUUUAAAAAUAUUGCAAUAUAAGGCAUGCAAUAAUUGAGAUUGUGUGUAUUCACAUGCUAAGUUUUAUGGAUUUGAUACAUCUUGGUUUUUGGUACGAAAGAAUGCUAAUGCUUAAAUAAAACUUAUUUGCAUUUUUCCUUAUCUGUAGUCCAAAUUUUCCCCAUUUGGUAUUUUUUUUUUCCCUUCUUGCUUUGUUCUUAAUCGUGAUAGGAUAUCCUUACCUAUAUACUGUCAAAUCCUUACCAUAUCUUGAGUACUUCUUGCUGUCCAGACGAUCACUUAUUUUAAACAUUUUAUUACUGUAAGAUGAAUACAGCACUUAUUUUGAGGCAAUUUAUAGUAACUCUUGUGUAAGAUGUUCUUUAUUUGAAGAAAGGCUUUUAUUUAAGAUGGUGAAAGUUGAAAAUUGCAGGCAGCAACAGAUAAAUGAUCUUGAGGUUCCCAAGAAGAAGCUAGAGGAAAUUACUCACACCUCCACAAUCACUUGUAAAUUAACCCGGAAAUAAUCCAUUGCAAGAGAUUUGUCAUCCCAUUUGUCCAUAUUGGCUUCUGAUUAUGUUUGAUAAAACAGAGUCCACGUUCGUUGUUGGAUCCCAGGGAAAAAGGAAUCUGU
This 1352-nucleotide long non-coding RNA is filed under the name Coffea arabica (coffee). RNAcentral describes it as "long non-coding RNA (CARA_LNC005512)". Lineage: Eukaryota; Viridiplantae; Streptophyta; Magnoliopsida; Gentianales; Rubiaceae. The record is from RNAcentral.